Molecule: non-coding RNA, 168 nt
Filed under: bovine gut metagenome
Description: Lysine riboswitch
Rfam family: Lysine riboswitch aptamer
About the family: Riboswitches are metabolite binding domains within certain messenger RNAs that serve as precision sensors for their corresponding targets. Allosteric rearrangement of mRNA structure is mediated by ligand binding, and this results in modulation of gene expression.
Source: RNAcentral
UCGAUAGAGGCGCGGAAGGCAUCAGUAUCGCCGCGGAGCCCCUCCAAGGGCCAUGAAGCGGCGGGAAAGGGCCCUUCGCCGAAAUCCGGAACGGUUGGAGCCGGGCCGGGUUGGGGGAUCGCGGAACACGCGGUUCACUGUCACAACCCUCGUUGUGGAGCGCUAUCU